Molecule: transfer RNA, 72 nt
Filed under: Camelus bactrianus (Bactrian camel)
Lineage: Eukaryota; Metazoa; Chordata; Mammalia; Artiodactyla; Camelidae
Also listed under: 2 other names
Rfam family: tRNA
About the family: Transfer RNA (tRNA) molecules are approximately 80 nucleotides in length. Their secondary structure includes four short double-helical elements and three loops (D, anti-codon, and T loops).
Source: Rfam by way of RNAcentral
GUGGAUAUAGCUCAGUGGUACAGUGCAUGCUUAGCAUGCAUGAGGUCUUGGGUUCAAUCCCCAGUACCUCCA